CCUACGGGCGGCAGCAGUGAGGAAUAUUGGUCAAUGGGCGCGAGCCUGAACCAGCCAAGUAGCGUGAAGGAUGACUGCCCUACGGGUUGUAAACUUCUUUUAUAAAGGAAUAAAGUGAGGCACGUGUGCCUUUUUGUAUGUACUUUAUGAAUAAGGAUCGGCUAACUCCGUGCCAGCAGCCGCGGUAAUACGGAGGAUCCGAGCGUUAUCCGGAUUUAUUGGGUUUAAAGGGAGAGUAGAUGGGUUGUUAAGUCAGUGGUCAAAUUGAGGGGUGAAACCCCUUCCCGCCAUUGAAACUGGCUCUCUUGAGUGGAAGAGAAGUAUGCGGAAUGCGUGGUGUAGCGGUGAAAUGCAUAGAGAUCACGCAGAACCCCGAUUGCGAAGGCAGCCUUCGGGCGCCCUACUGACGCUGAGGCACGAAAGUGCGGGGAUCGAACAGGAUUAGAUACCCUAGUAGUC
RNAcentral lists this ribosomal RNA (459 nucleotides) under uncultured bacterium. RNAcentral's name for it is "partial 16S ribosomal RNA". It matches the Rfam family "Bacterial small subunit ribosomal RNA", at positions 338 to 795 of the family's 1533-position model. The record is from RNAcentral.